Molecule: long non-coding RNA, 359 nt
Organism: Aquila chrysaetos chrysaetos
Lineage: Eukaryota; Metazoa; Chordata; Aves; Accipitriformes; Accipitridae
Exons: 2
Source: RefSeq, a predicted model, not a curated record
CGGCGCUGGGUGCUCCUGGUAGCCAUAUAAAUAUCCAGCCCCGUUAGCAAUCGCAAAAUCUUGGCCCGACUAACGGUGACAGCGGUGCUGCAAUUUCUCUGCGCGGUACGUCAUCUCUCUAACACCGCUUUCCAGACAGGGCAGCCGGUCCCCAGAGCGCUCGGUGGAGGCAGUCCCGGGGAUCGAAUAAAAGCGCAACGAUCGUUACACGCAUGCCUCUCAAGCGUAAGUUGUGCAGAGAUUUCCACUGAGCUGCAUAAAAUGACCCCUGGUCCCUUUCUUGGCUGGACAGAUGUAGAGAUUAAUUGUAAAUAGAUCUGGUUUUAGCUCCACAUGUUAAAUAAACACUCAGUUCUCCA